RNAcentral lists this ribosomal RNA (670 nucleotides) under uncultured Staphylococcus sp. RNAcentral describes it as "bacterial SSU rRNA". It matches the Rfam family "Bacterial small subunit ribosomal RNA", at positions 65 to 721 of the family's 1533-position model. The record is from RNAcentral. Lineage: Bacteria; Bacillati; Bacillota; Bacilli; Caryophanales; Staphylococcaceae.
AACGGACGAGAAGCUUGCUUCUCUGAUGUUAGCGGCGGACGGGUGAGUAACACGUGGAUAACCUACCUAUAAGACUGGGAUAACUUCGGGAAACCGGAGCUAAUACCGGAUAAUAUUUUGAACCGCAUGGUUCAAAAGUGAAAGACGGUCUUGCUGUCACUUAUAGAUGGAUCCGCGCUGCAUUAGCUAGUUGGUAAGGUAACGGCUUACCAAGGCAACGAUGCAUAGCCGACCUGAGAGGGUGAUCGGCCACACUGGAACUGAGACACGGUCCAGACUCCUACGGGAGGCAGCAGUAGGGAAUCUUCCGCAAUGGGCGAAAGCCUGACGGAGCAGCGCCGCGUGAGUGAUGAAGGUCUUCGGAUCGUAAAACUCUGUUAUUAGGGAAGAACAUAUGUGUAAGUAACUGUGCACAUCUUGACGGUACCUAAUCAGAAAGCCACGGCUAACUACGUGCCAGCAGCCGCGGUAAUACGUAGGUGGCAAGCGUUAUCCGGAAUUAUUGGGCGUAAAGCGCGCGUAGGCGGUUUUUUAAGUCUGAUGUGAAAGCCCACGGCUCAACCGUGGAGGGUCAUUGGAAACUGGAAAACUUGAGUGCAGAAGAGGAAAGUGGAAUUCCAUGUGUAGCGGUGAAAUGCGCAGAGAUAUGGAGGAACACCAGUGGCGAAGG